This 117-nucleotide ribosomal RNA is filed under the name Danio rerio (zebrafish). The record is from RNAcentral. Lineage: Eukaryota; Metazoa; Chordata; Actinopteri; Cypriniformes; Danionidae.
GAUAACAGCAAUAUCACCCUGCAGCCCAAGACCGGUUACUCCCUGAAGCUAAGCAGGGCUGAGCCUGGCCAGUACCUGGCUGGGAGACCACAUGGGAAAACGAGGUUGCUGUUGGAA